Molecule: ribosomal RNA, 250 nt
Filed under: uncultured bacterium
Lineage: Bacteria
Description: partial 16S ribosomal RNA
Rfam family: Bacterial small subunit ribosomal RNA
Source: RNAcentral
ACGUAGGUGGCAAGCGUUGUCCGGAAUUAUUGGGCGUAAAGCGCGCGCAGGCGGAUUGGUCAGUCUGUCUUAAAAGUUCGGGGCUUAACCCCGUGAUGGGAUGGAAACCGCCAAUCUAGAGUAUCGGAGAGGAAAGUGGAAUUCCUAGUGUAGCGGUGAAAUGCGUAGAUAUUAGGAAGAACACCAGUGGCGAAGGCGACUUUCUGGACGAAAACUGACGCUGAGGCGCGAAAGCCAGGGGAGCGAACGG